RNAcentral lists this ribosomal RNA (520 nucleotides) under uncultured bacterium. RNAcentral describes it as "bacterial SSU rRNA". It matches the Rfam family "Bacterial small subunit ribosomal RNA", at positions 11 to 524 of the family's 1533-position model. The record is from RNAcentral.
GUUUGAUCCUGGCUCAGAUUGAACGCUGGCGGCAGGCUUAACACAUGCAAGUCGAGCGGUAACAGGAGAAGCUUGCUUCUCGCUGACGAGCGGCGGACGGGUGAGUAAUACUUAGGAAUCUACCUAGUAGUGGGGGAUAGCACGGGGAAACUCGUAUUAAUACCGCAUACGACCUACGGGAGAAAGGGGGCAGUUUACUGCUCUCGCUAUUAGAUGAGCCUAAGUCGGAUUAGCUAGAUGGUGGGGUAAAGGCCUACCAUGGCGACGAUCUGUAGCUGGUCUGAGAGGAUGAUCAGCCACACCGGGACUGAGACACGGCCCGGACUCCUACGGGAGGCAGCAGUGGGGAAUAUUGGACAAUGGGGGAAACCCUGAUCCAGCCAUGCCGCGUGUGUGAAGAAGGCCUUUUGGUUGUAAAGCACUUUAAGCAGUGAAGAAGACUCCGUGGUUAAUACCCACGGACGAUGACAUUAGCUGCAGAAUAAGCACCGGCUAACUCUGUGCCAGCAGCCGCGGUAAU